UUAAUUAACGGUCCCCCAUAAAUAGCGCCUCCAUCGGUGACGUGAUAAUUAAUUCGUCUAGUUUUGUUAACGGUCCAAAUAAAUAGCGCCCUCUUGUGCGCAUGUGGUUCGGUAACUUAAACCAUGACGUCAUCACACAACCUUGCCUGGCGGUCACCCCGCAUCGUCGUUCCCACAAUUUUCAAUGCGCUUCCCACUCGACCCCCUGUCCACCAGCAUGCUUUGCUGUAGGUUUGGGGUGAACUUUUCGAACGGUCUUAUGAAAACGAAGUUGUCAGUUCUCCAUCCAAAGGAACAAGGUUGAUAUAACUGGACGCGACUGGACGCAAUCUUUAGGGUGGCGCUAUUUAAGGGGACCGUUAGCUAAACUAACCUAAACCUACCUGAAGGGGCGCUGUUCAAGGUGACCGUUAAAAAAAUAAACGGGCCUGCGAAAAGUGAUGGAUGCUGUUUGUUUUGGGGUGCAUUCUCACCUUUUUUUGUACGGAUGAAAGUUGAUGCUGGUCAACUUGUUCCAAUUCAUUGUGGUGAUGAACCGGGUCCAGGAGCAAGUCUACACUACAUACAUGAAGACUAAUGUUGAUGCAAAAUAUCUGCUGCUACUUAUAUGCCGACUAAAAGAGACUCAAAGUCCAUGGACUGCUUUUAUAAAGAUCGUCUCACCUCUGAAGUUAAAAUAAUACUACAGGCUGUUACAGUUCGGUAUGUUACUUCUCAGGUCAAUUAUGGAGGUCUGGCAUGAACAUUGUGCAUUUUAAGCAUCCAAUAUGUUGUUGCACCAAUCUCAUGUUUCUGCAAAAUACACUACAGUGAUGCAGUAUGAUGGACAGCAGUGCCAGACCAAUAAAGAACUUAUUUAGUCGAUGUAAUUCUUUGCAUAGGGGAUAAAGAGCAUAAUUUGUUCUUACCCUUGCACAGAUGUGUAUUAAACACUGUUUACUCAUUGCAAGCUAGCCUGCUGGCUAGAGGCAGCUCAAAUCCUAUGUUUUAGCAGCAGAUUCGUACUGCCUCUAGCCACUGGUGGUCUAGUGGUCAGAUAUCUACUCUAG
This is a long non-coding RNA of Asterias rubens (European starfish), 1049 nucleotides long. RefSeq lists it as uncharacterized. Lineage: Eukaryota; Metazoa; Echinodermata; Asteroidea; Forcipulatida; Asteriidae. The transcript is spliced from 3 exons. The record is from RefSeq and is a predicted model, not a curated record.